Molecule: ribosomal RNA, 252 nt
Filed under: uncultured Gardnerella sp.
Lineage: Bacteria; Bacillati; Actinomycetota; Actinomycetes; Bifidobacteriales; Bifidobacteriaceae
Description: partial 16S ribosomal RNA
Rfam family: Bacterial small subunit ribosomal RNA
Source: RNAcentral
CGGGUGAGUAAUGCGUGACCAACCUGCCCCAUGCUCCAGAAUAGCUCUUGGAAACGGGUGGUAAUGCUGGAUGCUCCAACUUGACGCAUGUCUUGUUGGGAAAGUGUUUAGUGGCAUGGGAUGGGGUCGCGUCCUAUCAGCUUGUAGGCGGGGUAAUGGCCCACCUAGGCUUCGACGGGUAGCCGGCCUGAGAGGGCGGACGGCCACAUUGGGACUGAGAUACGGCCCAGACUCCUACGGGAGGCAGCAGUU